AGUAACAAGAGGGAAACGUUACUGAUAAUAACUGGAUAAGUUAGUAUAUCGCAUGAUAUGCAAAUGAAAGCUACGGCACUAAAGGAGAGCUUGCGUCCUAUUAGCUAGUUGGUAAGGUAAGAGCUUACCAAGGCGAUGAUAGGUAGCCGGCCUGAGAGGGUGGACGGCCACAAGGGGACUGAGAUACGGCCCUUACUCCUACGGGAGGCAGCAGC
This 215-nucleotide ribosomal RNA is filed under the name uncultured Leptotrichia sp. RNAcentral describes it as "partial 16S ribosomal RNA". It matches the Rfam family "Bacterial small subunit ribosomal RNA", at positions 139 to 355 of the family's 1533-position model. The record is from RNAcentral. Lineage: Bacteria; Fusobacteriati; Fusobacteriota; Fusobacteriia; Fusobacteriales; Leptotrichiaceae.